AGAACGAACGCUGGCGGCAGGCCUCAAACAUGCAAGUCUAGGGGGUGUAGCAAUACAUCACCGGCGGACGGGUGCGUAACACGUGGGAAUAUACCUUUUGGUUCGGAACAACGCAGGGAAACUUGCGCUAAUACCGAAUGUGCCCUUACGGGGAAAGAUUUAUCGCCAAAGGAUUAGCCCGCGUAGGAUUAGCUAGUUGGUGAGGUAAUGGCUCACCAAGGCUCCGAUCCUUAGCUGUUCUGAGAGGAAGAUCAGCCACACUGGGACUGAGACACGGCCCAGACUCCUACGGGAGGCAGCAGUUGGGAAUCUUGGACAAUGGGGAAACCCUGAUCCAGCCAUGCCGCGUGAGUGAUGAAGGCCUUCGGGUUGUAAAACUCUUUCGACGGGGACGAUAAUGACGGUACCCGUAGAAGAAGCUCCGGCUAACUUCGCGCCAGCAGCCGC
Molecule: ribosomal RNA, 447 nt
Filed under: uncultured bacterium
Lineage: Bacteria
Description: SSU rRNA
Rfam family: Bacterial small subunit ribosomal RNA
Source: RNAcentral